AAUAACUAGCAUUCUUGGAGUUAAAUGCCUUUGUCAACUUUUUCAGGUACAGUUUCUUGGUGGUAUUGGUGGACAGGGCAUUUUUUCAUGUGUCAACGCAGUGCUCAGGAGAUUGAUGACAAAUUCUGCCGCAUCCCAAUACAGCUGGAGUGGGUUCAAAGGAAAGAAAACAUUUAUAAAUUUAAGGCUGUCGCAAGUUGUGCUACAUGUUGUACGGUUACAUGUGCCAGGGGCUACUGAAACUGAAGUGUCAGAGCAGAUACAAGCUUGGUUGAAGCAUGCCAAAACAAGACUUGUCAGAACAUCACAGAAGUUGCCAGUUUCUGACCAGUGUUGAAAAAAGAAGCAUAAGAACUUAAGUGAACUACUUUGUAAUGAAUUUUACCAGGACAUGAAUUAUUGUGCCAAAUGAAUGUUUAAAAAUACCUUGCAUAUAAUAUUUUGAUACUCUACUUUGAAAACUAUAAAAUACUUUGUAGAAAUA
This is a long non-coding RNA of Bacillus rossius redtenbacheri, 484 nucleotides long. RefSeq lists it as uncharacterized. The transcript is spliced from 3 exons. The record is from RefSeq and is a predicted model, not a curated record. Lineage: Eukaryota; Metazoa; Arthropoda; Insecta; Phasmatodea; Bacillidae.